GACUCCCAUCAGCCACCAGCAGCUUCAAUUUCCUUAGCUCCCAAAACCACCUUAAAGGUAAAGCCACACCAUGACAAGAGCAGAGGAAAAUGAGCCAAAUGCGUGGAUUGGCAGAGAAAACCCACUGCAUUCCAGCCUCAGCCUCCUGCACUGCCCACCACAUUCUUGGAGGGACUGGGAGAGAUUGACUAAUGCAUGGCAAAAGCAAGGCCAAGUCAGUCAUCAAAAAUUUGCUCUAGUUGGUGAUAAAUUAAAUUAAAUUCUCAUAGUCAAGACUGUUUUGGCCAUGACAAGUGCCCUUACUCUACCUGGUGAAACUGUCCAAGAGCAACCUGGUGGCACAUCUUGUAUAUCUACCAGUUCCAACUCAAGUUUAGCUUUCUGUGUGAUGGGGUUCCUGCCCUCAGCAACAAUUGUUUUGAUGCCUAAUGGAGGUGGCCAGAAAGUCACCAAUUUCUUCAUUUUCAGAUCAGGCAAGUCUACUUUAGAUUUCUCUGCAUGUUAAUUAAUGGUCAUUUCUGGUGUCACUAAUAUGACACCAUGUUAGUGUUGUUAUAAGGUUGUUAUGACUUCCUCUGUGUUCCUUUCUUAUCUGUACCUGAAUUAUUUGGAACAGCAAGGAUGUAGUUCAGAGCCUUGGCUGAGCUUUCCCCCAACAGCUGUUUGUUUUCCUUAGGACUUACCCAGAUUGAGGUCUCAUUUUGUCCAAGUGAUAGCUCUGGGCAAGUUCCAUCAGACAAGCCUAACUUCCAUUUCCAGAGGAUCCCAAAGAAAUCUACAGAGAUUGAUACUAAAAUGAUCAUCCUGUUUAUAGAAAGGCAGCUGUUCUUUGAGCUGCAGAAAACAAUCACAUAUCAGCUACCUACAGGGUAGAAAAACCAUUAAAACAUCAGGGCUCUGAAGCAGGAAAGGGGGAUACUGUCUGCUAGAACUAGAUCGAUACUUGCAGAAAUACUGAAGAUAACUCACUCAUAAACAUAGUUUGAAAAUUCUGUUGUUUCCAGAUGGCAUGGUUUUGAUUGGAAAAAUGAAAGAAGUAAGCCACGCAUAAUGUGGGAGUUUUGAAAGCAGUAAAAAUGAAAGAAUAACUUACAUAAGGAAAUGUCCUGGGGUGACUAUGAUACUGGUGUCCCUAAUCGUCUGGUUUAUGUUAUAUAUAUUAAGUUCUGCACCUUUAAGACUGGCUCUGAGAGCAAAGGUGGGGGGAAGAAGAAGCUACAGUUUGUGUUGAAAGAAAACAUCACUCCCCCGUAUCCUUCUCCUGGACUGGGCUGUCUGCAGCACAGACAGACAGCGGGACAGAGCUUUUCUCUGGCUUUUAGUUCAUUUUAGC
Molecule: long non-coding RNA, 1333 nt
Organism: Parus major (Great Tit)
Lineage: Eukaryota; Metazoa; Chordata; Aves; Passeriformes; Paridae
Exons: 2
Source: RefSeq, a predicted model, not a curated record